AUGGCCCAAGAACACGCUCAUUCUUCAGUCGUAGAGAGACUUUUGAAUUGUGAGGUACCUUUACAAGCUCAAUAUAUAAGAGUGUUAUUCUGUGAAAUAACUCAAAUUUCAAACCAUUCACUUGUUUCAACUACUCAUGCUAUGGACGUGGGAGCAUCAACUCUGUUCCUUUGGGCUUUUGAGGAGUGGGAGAAAUUGUUGAAAUUCUAUGAAAGAGUCCCGGGAGCUAGUAUGCAUGCCAGUUUCAUACGACCUGGUGGAGUGGCACAAGAUCCACCUCUUGGCUUAUGUCGAGAUAUAUCCUCCACACAAUAAUUUGCUUCUCGUAUCGAUGAAUUGGAAGAGAUGUCAACCGAUAACCGUAUCUGGAAACAACGAUUAAUGGAUAUUGGUAGUGUCACUGCGCAGCAAGCAAAGGAUUAGGGAUUCAGUGGUGUACUGUUAAGAGGUCGGGCGACAUGA
This 462-nucleotide ribosomal RNA is filed under the name Triticum aestivum (bread wheat). Its description in RNAcentral is "partial small subunit ribosomal RNA". Lineage: Eukaryota; Viridiplantae; Streptophyta; Magnoliopsida; Poales; Poaceae. The record is from RNAcentral.